Molecule: transfer RNA, 94 nt
Filed under: Pyrenochaeta sp. MPI-SDFR-AT-0127
Lineage: Eukaryota; Fungi; Ascomycota; Dothideomycetes; Pleosporales; Cucurbitariaceae
Rfam family: tRNA
About the family: Transfer RNA (tRNA) molecules are approximately 80 nucleotides in length. Their secondary structure includes four short double-helical elements and three loops (D, anti-codon, and T loops).
Source: Rfam by way of RNAcentral
UCCGAUAUGGUCUAGUGGCUAGGAUUUGUCGCUCUCAUCGAGGUUCCGCCUCUCGAGCGCCGACAAGGCCCGGGUUCGAUUCCCGGUGUCGGAA